CAGCCGCCGCGGGUAAUACAGAGGGUGCGAGCGUUAAUCGGAUUUACUGGGCGUAAAGCGUGCGUAGGCGGCUAAUUGAGUCGGAUGUGAAAUCCCCGAGCUUAACUUGGGAAUUGCAUUCGAUACUGGUUAGCUAGAGUGUGGGAGAGGAUGGUAGAAUUCCAGGUGUAGCGGUGAAAUGCGUAGAGAUCUGGAGGAAUACCGAUGGCGAAGGCAGCCAUCUGGCCUAACACUGACGCUGAGGUACGAAAGCAUGGGGAGCAAACAGGAUUAGAUACCCGCGUAGUCCCUGUCUCUUAUA
This 301-nucleotide ribosomal RNA is filed under the name uncultured bacterium. RNAcentral describes it as "partial 16S ribosomal RNA". It matches the Rfam family "Bacterial small subunit ribosomal RNA", at positions 509 to 808 of the family's 1533-position model. The record is from RNAcentral.